CCUACGGGUGGCAGCAGUGGGGAAUAUUGCACAAUGGGGGAAACCCUGAUGCAGCAACGCCGCGUGGGUGAAGGAGCGUCUCGGCGCGGAAAGCUCCGUCAGUGGGGAAGUAGAAAGACGGUACCGGACCAAGAAGCACCGGCUAACUACGUGCCAGCAGCCGCGGUAAUACGGAGGGGCCGAGCGUUAUCCGGAAUUACUGGGUGUAAAGGGAGCGUAGACGGCGAGGUAAGCCUGAAGUGGAAGGCCGCGGCCCAACCGCGGAACUGCGUUGGGAACUGUUUUGCUGGAGUAUGGGUGGGGUAGGCGGAAUUCCUGGUGUAGCGGUGAAAUGCGUAGAUAUCAGGAAGAACACCGAUUGCGAAGGCAGCUUACUAAACCAUAACUGACGUUGAGGCUCGAAAGCGUGGGGAGCGAACAGGAUUAGAUACCCGAGUAGUC
Molecule: ribosomal RNA, 441 nt
Filed under: uncultured bacterium
Lineage: Bacteria
Description: partial 16S ribosomal RNA
Rfam family: Bacterial small subunit ribosomal RNA
Source: RNAcentral